Molecule: transfer RNA, 77 nt
Filed under: Acholeplasmataceae bacterium
Lineage: Bacteria; Bacillati; Mycoplasmatota; Mollicutes; Acholeplasmatales; Acholeplasmataceae
Description: tRNA-Arg
Rfam family: tRNA
About the family: Transfer RNA (tRNA) molecules are approximately 80 nucleotides in length. Their secondary structure includes four short double-helical elements and three loops (D, anti-codon, and T loops).
Source: RNAcentral
GUCCCAGUAGCUCAGUUGGACAGAGCAUCGGUUUCCUAAACCGUUGGUCGGGAGUUCGAGUCUCUCCUGGGACGCCA